Molecule: ribosomal RNA, 498 nt
Filed under: uncultured bacterium
Lineage: Bacteria
Description: partial 16S ribosomal RNA
Rfam family: Bacterial small subunit ribosomal RNA
Source: RNAcentral
AUUGAACGCUGGCGGCAUGCCUUACACAUGCGAGUCGAACGGUAACAGGUCUUCGGAUGCUGACGAGUGGCGAACGGGUGAGUAAUACAUCGGAACGUGCCUAGUAGUGGGGGAUAACUACUCGAAAGAGUGGCUAAUACCGCAUGAGAUCUACGGAUGAAAGCAGGGGAUCGCAAGACCUUGUGCUACUAGAGCGGCCGAUGGCAGAUUAGGUAGUUGGUGGGAUAAAAGCUUACCAAGCCGACUAUCUGUAGCUGGUCUGAGAGGACGAUCAGCCACACUGGGACUGAGACACGGACCAGACUCCUACGGGAGGCAGCAGUGGGGAAUUUUGGACAAUGGGCGAAAGCCUGAUCCAGCAAUGCCGCGUGCAGGAUGAAGGCCUUCGGGUUGUAAACUGCUUUUGUACGGAACGAAAAGCCCCGGGUUAAUACCCUGGGGUCAUGACGGUACCGUAAGAAUAAGCACCGGCUAACUACGUGCCAGCAGCCGCAGUAA